CUCAAACCCCUGGCCUCCAGUGAUCCGCUGGCCUCAGCCUCCCAAAGUGCUGGGAUUACAGGUGUGAGCCAAUGUGCCUGGCCUCAUUGGAAUUUUUGAAGAGGCAAAGGGUUAACACCACUUGUUAGGAAAAAGACCGUAUCGUGUGAUGCCUUGCCAGGUUGAGGGUCCCAGGUUUAAAGGCUAUUACCAUGGCCUCACCUGUGAGAAAAUAAAAAAUUCAAGGAGAGCACUCCACCCCCAGG
RNAcentral lists this long non-coding RNA (245 nucleotides) under Homo sapiens (human). RNAcentral describes it as "HSALNT0244313". The record is from RNAcentral. Lineage: Eukaryota; Metazoa; Chordata; Mammalia; Primates; Hominidae.